UUGACCUCGGAUCAGGUAGGGAUACCCGCUGAACUUAAGCAUAUCAAUAAGCGGAGGAAAAGAAACCAACAGGGAUUGCCCCAGUAACGGCGAGUGAAGCGGCAAGAGCUCAAAUUUGAAAGCUGGCCCCCUCGGGGUCCGCAUUGUAAUUUGCAGAGGAUGCUUCGGAGGCAGCCCCCGUCUAAGUACCCUGGAACGGGUCGUCAUAGAGGGUGAGAAUCCCGUACGGGACGGGGUGUCUGCCACCGUGUGAAGCUCCUUCGACGAGUCGAGUUGUUUGGGAAUGCAGCUCUAAAUGGGUGGUAAAUUUCAUCUAAAGCUAAAUAUUGGCCGGAGACCGAUAGCGCACAAGUAGAGUGAUCGAAAGAUGAAAAGCACUUUGAAAAGAGAGUUAAAAAGCACGUGAAAUUGUUGAAAGGGAAGCGCUUGCGACCAGACUCGCCCACGGGGUUCAGCCGGCAUUCGUGCCGGUGUACUUCCCCGCGGGCGGGCCAGCGUCGGUUUGGGCGGCCGGUCAAAGGCCCUCGGAAUGUAACGCCCCCCGGGGCGUCUUAUAGCCGAGGGUGCCAUGCGGCCUGCCCGGACCGAGGAACGCGCUUCGGCUCGGACGCUGGCAUAAUGGUCGUAAGCGACC
RNAcentral lists this ribosomal RNA (634 nucleotides) under Penicillium cvjetkovicii. RNAcentral describes it as "eukaryotic LSU rRNA". It matches the Rfam family "Eukaryotic large subunit ribosomal RNA", at positions 1 to 649 of the family's 3401-position model. The record is from RNAcentral. Lineage: Eukaryota; Fungi; Ascomycota; Eurotiomycetes; Eurotiales; Aspergillaceae.